This 497-nucleotide ribosomal RNA is filed under the name uncultured bacterium. Its description in RNAcentral is "partial 16S ribosomal RNA". It matches the Rfam family "Bacterial small subunit ribosomal RNA", at positions 28 to 507 of the family's 1533-position model. The record is from RNAcentral.
GAUGAACGCUGGCGGCGUGCCUAAUACAUGCAAGUCGAACGCAUAGCGAAAGGUGCUUGCCCCUUUCAAGUGAGCGGCGAACGGGUGAGUAACACGUGGACAACCUGCCUCAAGGCUGGGGAUAACAUUUGGAAACAGAUGCUAAUACCGAAUAAAACUUAGUGUCGCAUGACACAAAGUUAAAAGGCGCUUCGGCGUCACCUAGAGAUGGAUCCGCGGUGCAUUAGUUAGUUGGUGGGGUAAAGGCCUACCAAGACAAUGAUGCAUAGCCGAGUUGAGAGACUGAUCGGCCACAUUGGGACUGGAACACGGCCCAAACUCCUACGGGAGGCUGCAGUAGGGAAUCUUCCACAAUGGGCGAAAGCCUGAUGGAGCGACGCCGCGUGUGUGAUGAAGGCUUUCGGGUCGUAAAGCACUGUUGUAUGGGAAGAACAGCUAGAAUAGGAAAUGAUUUUAGUUUGACGGUACCAUACCAGAAAGGGACGGCUAAAUACGUG